RNAcentral lists this ribosomal RNA (253 nucleotides) under uncultured bacterium. Its description in RNAcentral is "partial 16S ribosomal RNA". It matches the Rfam family "Bacterial small subunit ribosomal RNA", at positions 524 to 776 of the family's 1533-position model. The record is from RNAcentral.
UACGGAGGAUGCAAGCGUUAUCCGGAAUCAUUGGGCGUAAAGCGUCCGUAGGUGGUUGCACAAGUCUAUUGUUAAAGAGUGGGGCUUAACUCCAUCAAAGCAGUAGAAACUGUGAGACUAGAGAGUGGUAGGGGCAGAGGGAAUUCCUGGUGUAGCGGUGAAAUGCGUAGAGAUCAGGAAGAACACCAGUGGCGAAAGCGCUCUGCUGGACCAAAUCUGACACUGAGGGACGAAAGCUAGGGGAGCGAAAGGG